AGCAAUUUUGCACAUGUUAGAUUAUACUAUCGAUAGAGUCUGAUUACUAUACCAUCGAUAGUACCAAGCGCUUGAUACUAUCGACUUUUUCUCUGUUAUACGUAUUCCUUUGAUCAUUUUUAUCUGUUAGAUCAUACUAUUUAACCAACCAUCACUCAAUCCUAAAGGAUCACUCCCAAACACUUACGCUAUUAUAGGUUUUCGACCCUUGCAUAAAAGAAUGUACGAUUAAGAUGAUAUGGGUUCUCUGGGGUUAAGUAAAUUGUUGGUUGAAUAGUAUAAUCUAACGGAUGAAAAUAGCCAAAGAGUUAAAUCUAAUGGUAAAAAACUCGGUAGCACCAAGCACUUGGUACUAUCAAUAGUAUCACAGCCGGACUCUCUCUCUCUCUCUCUCUCUCUUUCUCUCUCUCUCUCUCUCUCUCUCUCUCUCUCUAUAUAUAUAUAUACUCUUAUAAGUAUAGGUCUCUUUAUAAUUAUAAAUUUUCGACCGUUUGAUAAAGAGAUAUGCGGUUAGAAUAAUAAUAAUUCCCUAAGGUUGAGUGGAUGGUUUGUUAAGUAGUAUGAUCCAACGGAUGGAAAUAGUCAAAGAAGUAGGUUUAACGGCCGAAAACGUAUGAAUAUAGUUAGUAGCCAGACAAUAUACAUAUAUAUAUAUAUAGUUGAGCUAGAAUACUCUCAAAAGCACCAUGGGGGUGGUGCUUUUGAGUUUUUAGCCAUUGGAUGGAGAGAUGUGAGACUGAGAUGAUGGUGGUAGGUGGAAUAGUAUUUGAUCCAAGGGUUAUUAGUAAUCAAGAAGUAGAUCCAAUGGCUAAAAACCUAAUAGCACCAUGAGGGUGAUACUUGUAAAAGUAUUCUAGCUCAUAUAUAUAUAUAGAGAGAGAGAGAGAGAGAGAGUGAGUGAGGCUACUAUGCUUCUGGAAGCACAGAGCCUUCCGUGCUUUCAGAUCGUUUUUUAAGUUGCGACUUUCGAAUUGUCGAUCGGCUCCGUUAAACUUGAUCUAAAGUAUUUGAAGUAUUUAGAAAAUAAAUUUUGCAAUUUUUCGAUAUCAUUUGCCUAGUGAACUAAGGGGCUCAAAAUCAACGGCUGAAAAUAAAAAUCUUACAAAAUGUGAUAAUAUGACAUUAAAAUUUUAGAUCAAAGAUAUUGAUCUUGUUUUAUAUAGUAUAAAGAAUUUUCUAUCAAAAUUUCACAUGAUUUGAAUAUUUCUACACCAUUAAACUUGCAAACGGCUCACCACGGCCAUUAAAAUUAUUGAUUUUGAGUCCCUUCGAUCACUAGGCAAAUGAUAUCGAAAAAUCAUAAAAUUUAUUUUCUAAGUACUUCAAAUACUCUAGAUCAAGUUUAACGAAGCCGAUCGACGAUUCGAAAGUCGCAACAUCGAAAACGACCUAAAAACACGAAGGGCUCCGUAGUUCCAGAAGAUAGCCUCUCUCUCUCUCUCUCUCUCUCUCUCUCUCUCUCUCUCUCUCUCUCUCUCUCUAUAUAUAUAUAUAUAUAUAUAUAUAUAUAUAUAUAUAGCGAGGCUGGUAUACUAUCAGUAGCACGGAGGCCUCCGUGCUACCAAGUUGUUUUCAAUGAUACUGCUUCCAAAUCGACGAUCGGAUUCGUUAGACUUGAUUUAUACUAUUGAAAGUAUUUGGAAACUAAAUUUAUUAUUUUUCGGUAUCAUUUACCUAUCAAGCGAGUAAUCUAAAAAUGAACAGCUGAAAAUAAAAAUCUCAUAAAAAAUGAUGAUAAAAGACUUGAAUUUAAGAUCAGAAGUACUGAUCUUACUCUAAAUAGUGACAAAAAAUUUUUAUAAAAAUUCCAUCAUAUUUGGAUUGUUUUACACCGUUAAAUUCACAAACGCAUCACAUCUUCCAUUAAAAUUGUCAAUUUUGUGAACUUUUGAUCGUCAGGUAAAUGAUGUCGAAAAAAUUAAGAGAUUUGAUUCUUAGAAAUUUUAAAUGCUCUAAAUAAUAUUUAAUGGUACAGAUCGUCGAUUUGGAAGCUUUAUUGUCGAAAAUAAUUUAUGAGUACGAGAACAAUCGUACUCAUAAGAGUAUAGUAGCUGGACUCUACAUAUAUAAAACUCUUUAUACUGAUAAGUUUUUGACUGUUGGAUGAAGGGAUGUGCGGUUAGGAUUAUAGUAGUCCCCAGUUAAUUUAAUAGUGGUCCCAUAGAGUUAAGUGGUGGUUAGUUAAAUAGUAUGAUCUAACGGGUGAAAAUGGUUAGAGUAGAUCUAACGGUCGAAAAUUUAUGAGUUUAAAGAGCCUAUACUAAUAAGAAUAUAGUAGCCGAAAUAUAUAUAUAUGCACGUGAUGCUUCUCC
Molecule: long non-coding RNA, 2312 nt
Filed under: Ananas comosus (pineapple)
Lineage: Eukaryota; Viridiplantae; Streptophyta; Magnoliopsida; Poales; Bromeliaceae
Description: long non-coding RNA (ACOM_LNC029573)
Source: RNAcentral